UAAUAAUCUUUUCCUUCUGUUUAUGUACUCCACAGGUGAUUUGGAACAUCGCGGAGACCAAGGGAACGGUUCUCGGGGAAGACAUUCACUGUACCCUGGCUUGAUCACCGCUGCCGUAUCUGUUGUGUUCUCGUGGGCAAUGUCUGUGUCGUUUCUGCCAGUGGAAGAUGCUGUCAUGUCAACCUGACACGUGUGAACACUGAGUGUAUGGGACAGAGUCGACGAAGAGUGUAGGAGUAGUUCGGGUUGAUUUGUUUUAGGGGGGGGGGGGUUGUUGUUUUUUGUUGGUUUUUGUGUUUUUGUGUUGUUGUUGUUUUGUUUUGUUUUUUGUUUUUUUUGGGGGGUGGGGGAGUUUGUUGUUGUUUGGUUGGGUUUCUUUAUUGGAGGAGGUGGAGGGGAGUUGUUGGGGUUUUUUUCUUUUGUUUUGUUAUUGUUCUUGUUGUUGCUGCUGUUGUUUGGGGGUGGGGGGUGUAAUUGUAUGAUAGUUGGUGUUUUACUUUUUGAUGCUUUUGGAAAACCCUUCACCCAUAAAACCCAACUUUUGGAAAUGUAAUCAUCCCUUACAUCCUAAUAUAAAACAGAUACGUAAUAGAGAAAAACA
Long non-coding RNA from Aplysia californica (California sea hare), 601 nucleotides. RefSeq lists it as uncharacterized. Lineage: Eukaryota; Metazoa; Mollusca; Gastropoda; Aplysiida; Aplysiidae. The transcript has 2 exons. The record is from RefSeq and is a predicted model, not a curated record.